This is a long non-coding RNA of Suricata suricatta (meerkat), 803 nucleotides long. RefSeq lists it as uncharacterized. NCBI's taxonomy places the organism in Eukaryota, Metazoa, Chordata, Mammalia, Carnivora, Herpestidae. The transcript has 2 exons. The record is from RefSeq and is a predicted model, not a curated record.
GCCAGCAUGGCAUGCAUAUUGAAAUCCCAAUUCAGGAAUGAAAAUCUGAAACCAAGCUAUCUGCUUUUGUGUACUCUGGCACUGCAUCAUUUAAAAUAAUCCAAGAAUGAAAAUAUGAGCUAAGCUGCUUGCUUUUUUAAACAUUGAGCGUGUCAAUCCUGAGAUUCCACUGGACUGGCAUUUACUCUCCCACAAAGGAGUAGCUGAAGAAAGAGGAUCAUCUCUAACGAUCUCUGUAGCCCAGCAUUUAGCACACAGCUGCACAGCAUGUCUUCAGUUAAUGUAUACGAGGUGGAUGAAACCAGUAGAAUCAAGGUUCUUAAUCCUGAAACUAGAGGAUUUACUACACUGACAGAUGCUGAACCUAAGAAAUGAAUUUUCCCUCUUGGUUAUUAAAAAAUAAAAUCGAUGGCGUUUCAGGAAGAACCUCCUACCAACAUCCCAUACCCCUCACCCUCGCGUCUGCUUUAUUUUGCUUUCAUAUGCAAAUGUAAGGGUGAAAGCAAAGUAGACUUUUUCACAUUCCAAUGCUAGCAACCUGCUGAAAAGCAACUUGAACUUUGCCAGUUACUUGUUCAAUUUCUGCAGUCUUUUUGAUUAUUUCAGCUUUGUUCUACAAGCAGGCUCUCCGCUCUACCAGCCUAUUUUUGUGUCUGCUAAGCAGAAAUUACUGCAGUGUUUCCUAAGAUGCCUGGAAUGGCAACUAUUCUUUUUGAACUCACCCUGCCUGCCAUACCUUUCUUUCUCUUCAGCCACCAUGGAAUCAGAGUUCUAAAUAAAGAGCUUACAUGUGUUUUCAAGCA